This 250-nucleotide unclassified non-coding RNA is filed under the name Hevea brasiliensis (rubber tree). The record is from RNAcentral. Lineage: Eukaryota; Viridiplantae; Streptophyta; Magnoliopsida; Malpighiales; Euphorbiaceae.
GUUUCUGUUUCUGUUUCUGUUUCCAGUUUUAUUGAGGUCCACACUAGUAUUUUUUUGCCAAUUUUUAAGAUUAGUAUUAGCACAUAAUUUCACUGGCAGAGACACCAUAAAAAUUUGGUUUUGGGGUCAGAACAUUCAAAUUCUAUUUAGAUUAAGAUGAGAGAAUGUUGAAUUGAGGGUUCUAAUAAUUUAACUAAAUUGAAAUUAUAAAUUUUAUGAAAAGAGACAAUCUUUUAUUAUUAUUAUUAUU